RNA transcript from Mus musculus (house mouse), 6544 nucleotides. It is a transcript of the gene named suppression of tumorigenicity 7, with no coding region annotated. The transcript is spliced from 17 exons. The record is from RefSeq and is marked validated. NCBI's taxonomy places the organism in Eukaryota, Metazoa, Chordata, Mammalia, Rodentia, Muridae.
AUGUUAAUAAAUGCACUCGUUAGAUUUACUAUUGGAACAUUAGGAACUACUCCAAACAUUAUCUUCCAUAAUUAUUUUACUUUACCCAUUUUUAAACCUGGGGACAUUUAGUUCGCUACCUUUGAGGACUCAUGCUUUCAGUUCCGGGACAGAUGAUUAUUAUUUUUGAGCAGGAAUGGAGGCUGCAUUGUGCCUAUCUGCACAGUUCAGUGUGACCUCUGUCCUACUAAAUCACACCAUUAGAACACCCAAAGGGAUAGCUUCCAAUAGUAAACUGAUAGUUGGUGAUUUAUCAAUAGACUUAAGUGUUAUAAUACAAGGGACCAGUAGCAACCCCGUUUCUCCUGGACGUUGCCAUAGCCUUCCAGUUGGUGUCUGUGUCAUUCACAUGGCUUCACCUUUUGUUUUCAGAUCUCUGUUGAAAUGUCACCAUUUUUAGGUCACCUGGAAAUUUUGCUAAAAUGCUCUACCAUUCAUCUUGUUUUUCCCAGUUUCUUUCUAUCUAUCAUGAUAAUAUACACCACCACUUCACACAUGGCAUAUGUGUUCCUCUGUCCAGCCCACCAGAACUGGAGCAAACUCUAGCGAGGAAGGUGUUAGUCUGUACUGUGCCCGUGGAGUAAAGCAGUGGGGUCCCAGGGAAGAGCCGAGUAAUGUACAUGUCUGCAUGGGAUUCUUUGAAAGUGCUUCCUGACUUCCUUCACUGCCUCAGCAGGUGGUGCCACUCAAACCUGGCCUAGGAACCCAGACCUAGGUGGGAGAGUACCAGCUCCAUAAAUGUCCCCAGACCUUCACUUCUGCCCUGUAGCUUGUGGGCCCUUUGCCUCAUGCUCUCACGCAGUGUUAAAUGAAUAGAAGAAUUAAUCUAAGAAGAUUUUAUUGUUAUAUUUAUCAGUUUCCAAUUUCAUUAUUUCUCCUUUCUUUAUGUGUAUGAGUUUGUGGUGUGCAUGGUCAUUUUUGCCGGUGAGUGCCUGCAUGCACAUGUGGAGGUCAGACACUGACCUAGAAGUCUUCUUCAGUCACUAGCUGCUGUGCUCUCUGACUUGAACCCACAGCUCCCUGACACGGCCAGUAUCACACCAGCUUGCUUUAACCAUGGAGGCAUCCCCUGUUCCCUUACAAUGAUUAUUUUGAACAAUAAAUUAUUUGGGAUAUUAGCAUUUUCUCUCAUUGUUAAUUUUAAUUCAUUUACAAAUCAGAUCUCUGCUUUUUUAAAUUAAAAACUGAAUCAAAAACUUUUAUUAUUGUUACUGUUGCAUGAAUUUGUGCUUUAUGUGUCUGGAGUCACAUGUACCGUGAUGUGCAGUUGGCAGCCAGAGGUUGUUUAUGGAGUUGGUUCUCUCUCUCCAUUUUUACCUGAUUUCUAAGACUGAACUCCCUCAGGCCCUCAAGCUUGUGCAGAAAAUACUUUUACAGACUAGUGAUCUUGCUGGCCCUCGUUGCUAAUUUUGUCCUGGAAAUCCCAAUAAUGUUUUUAUAAUAAAUAAUGCAUUUGUAAGUGGGAGGGCAAAGUCCUAGGCAUUAAUAAUUAGACAACGUGAAUUCAACGAUUACUUUGCUUUUGAAAUCUAUGUGACCUUUUUUGGCAGGGGGAAUAGAAUGUUAAGAAACUUCAAAUCAGUUUUAUUAUUCCUCAUUUGCUUCCAUUAUAUUUUCUUUAGGGACACAUUAAAAUACGUGUUUAUUCGCUGAGUACCCUAGAGGAGAUAAUUAGAGCAAAUGAAACAUCUGAAGCAGUUUUUGUCAACGAGGAUUACUCGGUGAUGAGCAACCAAACUUUCUAAGGUGCUUGAAAUGCCUCAGGCCUCCAAAUAAGAGGAGUCAAGUGGGGUGAACUCUGCCCCAUGUUGUUGACAUGUCAGGUGCCAAGUUUAUAGCAUCCUGAUGCCUCUAAGGUUAUCUAAAAAGAAGGCUUCUUGGAAAAUUUUGGAACCUUUAAAAUAAUUCUUAUAACCCUGUGCCCCAAAAGAGACAUUGAUCUGUGAUCUGUGCAUUGAGCUCAUCUAUGAGCUGAAGCAAGGAGCUCCCAUCAGUUGGUGACGGAGUCCUUGCACCAUCCUCAUCGUGGCCUUUGUUGGAAAGGCUCUCAUCCUCAGGGCAUCACCUUCUUUUCCGCAGUCUCUAAGUUUUUUGAUGGCCAAAUCCCUCAGUUACUUCAAUGACUUCAUAUACAGUGUCUUGUACACAGUUUAGAGUAUAUCUUCCCCAGGGUAAAAGUUAACAAGCAAGCAAGCAAACAAACAAACAAAUAACACAUAUGAGGUAAAGUUUGGCUUUAAGGUCCCACAACUCUAAAGUGUAUUCCUAUUCCCGCUUGCUGUAGGUUCCCCCCUCAACCUUAUUAAUAUUCCUCCUUAGCUGUUGGCUUGAACGUUUUUUGUUUUUUUUUUUUUUAAACAGGCACAUUUUUAUAUAUUUACAAUUUAAUUCAUGCUGAGAUUCUAUUACUUCUGUAAUUUUUUAGUUUUCCUUGGUGACUUAUUUUUUAUGCAUCUCUAUCCACAUUUUCAACUCAUUUGUUUUCCUUUUAUUUCAUUUGAACUUUUAAAAUGUUAGAUAAUUUUUAGCAAUUAUUUGUUUUUUUUUCCUUUUCAAGAGGUGGUACAGUAGACAGACCAACAGCUUGGCUUCGGAGCCAGACCUCCUGGAUUUGAUUCUCAGCACAAUACUCAUGACUUACACCAUCUUGGCAAAUGAACUCGUGAAUGUAGGUGCUAGCAGCGUCUCCUCGUGCAGUCGGUAUGAAGAUUAAAUGGAUGGACACAUAUAGACGUCCAAAAUAGUGCCUGACACAUAGUAAGCAAAGAAACAUUGCGUAAUUCUUUUCUGCAACACCAGCUUCGUUCACACUUACUCUUCAUAGUCGUCCAUAAUGGCUUAGCGGUUAUGUAUGCUAAGACAGUUUACUCUGAACAAAUUGUACAGUGAAUACAACGAACUGUUGUGUAAGCGGCUAAGAUGAUGAAACAGAACUACAUCUAAUAGCCAGAGGAACUACUAAGGCUACUUUUAGGUGGAAUUUGCAGUUCUACGUUCUUGCCAUAAAUUUAAUGUUUAAGAGCGGUGUCCAUUUUAAGACAUUUCUUUGUAAACAAGAGAAAUCAUUGAAAAAGGUAUGCAUGCUGAGAAUGAGUGGAGGGAGUUUCGAACUCUUGAACUUUCUCCUGUCCAUGAGUUUUAAAGUGAAGCAUUAUGCACGCAGUACCCAUUUUGUACAUUUCAGAAUUUUAAAAGCAUUGGAACAAACUUCCGUCUUUGCUUGUGUGGAGUAGGCCACUCUAAAGAAAGUUCACAUACUUUUAAUAUGCGUGUUUUAAAACCAGAUUUAGGAGAAUAAGACUAAGAGAAUGCAGGAAGACUUUUAUUUGCUCCGUGAGUCAAGAAGCAAGUUGCUAUUAUUUUCAAUUCUUUUUGUUUGAGCAGAUUAAGAAGAAAUAGGCUAGUCACAAAUUCCCAUUUGCCCACAAGUGUACACAGGUGUGUGAGCACAGCCUUACAAUACCUGAGUUACUCUGAAAAUGACAGAAAUUUUCAAAAGGUAAAGUUUAAAAUAAGGCAGAAGGAAUAAGAUGAGAAAUAUGUGUAGACAAAUUUGUGGUUUUCGUAUUUGAAUAAUGUUUGCCAAUAUGUGAAAGUGUAACCUCUACUAUUUGAGACUAUUAUCUCACUAAUGCGUUCAUGGGCAUGUGAAUGUCCCAAACAUAUGUAGCAUGUGUCUUUUCAUCUACUUGUAAUUAAAUAAAUGUACAGCCUUAGAUGUCAGCCUUCCAUAAUUUAGAGAUAAUAAUCUGGAGUCCUUCUGAAAUUGCUUUUAAAUGUAGAUCAUUUUUCUCAUUUCAGAUGCUCCUAAUUCCCUUGCAAAGCUUUAUUUGCUGUAAUAUAACCGAGAACCCUGAUCUGCAUGUCAUUGUGGUUAGCUGAUAGAAGGCCAGUAUUUAAAUUUCUUUGAGGUCUCUUGCUGAGUGGCGUCACAGGAUGAAGAGCUCUUCAGGAGGGGGAAUGUGCUUGUGGUUUUUGGUCUUGUGCAUUUUGUGACAAAGGAAUUCCCUUUUGAAUCGCGCUGUUCCCUUGAAACCCUGGAGCCUCUGGUUCAAGCAGCGCAGUCAGUCUGUGCAGUGUCCCUGACGUCAUCCGGCGUAUGCAUAAGCUCUGCUAUUGUCUUACCGCUAGAGCAGGGCUGAGGACUGCAGUCUCUGCUGCUGCUCGCAGACCUGCCCUGCGCUAGCUACCUAGCCCUGCCUCACUGCAUCCCUCAAGAGCCGCGGCAGCCUUUCCUUGCCUGCUGGAUUUUGAGAAGCAGCUCUUCGAUUUGGGCUGGUGUAGGAGCCCUGGCUUUCCAUUCUCGAGAGAAAGCUGAAGCGCUCAGAGGAGAAUCUGGCAGCUGGACAUAGCUCGGACUGCAUUGUCUGGCUUCAUGACCCCUGCUGUGUAGCCGGCUCAUCUCUUUGCUCUCAGGAGCACAUGCACAUCUUACAUUUUCCUACUUCCUUUUUCUUUUUCUUUCCCUUCUUCUAAUUUUUUUUUAAAGCACCUUCUGGAGCCAGCCAUGUUUGGUACUGAAUCUUCAUUGAGCAUGUUUUUGAACACGUUAACCCCAAAGUUCUACGUGGCCCUGACAGGCACUUCCUCGCUAAUAUCGGGACUUAUUUUGAUAUUUGAAUGGUGGUAUUUUCGCAAGUAUGGAACAUCUUUCAUUGAACAAGUCUCCGUAAGCCACUUGCGCCCCCUUCUGGGAGGGGUUGACAACAACUCUUCCAAUAAUUCUAAUUCCAGUAAUGGAGACUCAGAUUCCAACAGACAAAGUGUCUCAGAAUGCAAAGUAUGGCGAAAUCCACUGAAUCUGUUUAGGGGUGCGGAAUAUAAUCGGUACACUUGGGUCACAGGACGAGAGCCUCUGACCUACUAUGACAUGAACCUCUCUGCCCAGGACCACCAGACAUUCUUUACUUGUGAUUCAGAUCAUCUUCGCCCUGCAGAUGCAAUAAUGCAAAAAGCUUGGAGAGAAAGGAACCCUCAAGCCAGGAUUUCUGCAGCUCAUGAAGCCUUGGAGAUAAACGAAAUUAGGUCCAGAGUUGAAGUUCCCCUAAUUGCUUCCUCUACCAUCUGGGAGAUAAAAUUGUUACCAAAGUGUGCAACUGCGUACAUUCUCUUGGCGGAAGAAGAAGCGACAACUAUUGCUGAAGCAGAAAAACUCUUUAAGCAGGCCCUGAAGGCUGGAGAUGGUUGUUACCGGCGCUCUCAGCAGCUACAACAUCAUGGGUCCCAGUAUGAAGCUCAACACAGACGAGACACCAAUGUCUUAGUCUAUAUCAAAAGAAGGCUGGCGAUGUGUGCCCGGAGACUUGGAAGGACCAGAGAAGCAGUGAAGAUGAUGAGAGAUUUAAUGAAGGAGUUUCCCCUCCUAAGCAUGUUCAAUAUCCAUGAGAACCUUCUAGAAGCUCUUCUGGAACUCCAAGCUUAUGCUGAUGUUCAGGCAGUCUUAGCAAAGUAUGAUGAUAUAAGCUUACCAAAGUCGGCGACAAUAUGCUACACAGCCGCCCUGCUCAAAGCAAGAGCUGUCUCUGACAAAUCGCCAGUACCUACUGCAACAUCUUUUCUCCCUACACAGCGACUCCAGCUUGGGAGGGCAGGGCCAGGGUUGCCACAGCUUCCCCUGUGGUGUCUGCCUGCCAAGCACAGCUCUGGAGUUAGCCCUGGGUGUGAGAUUCUCUCCAGAGGCUGCGUCUCGGAGGGGGCUGAGCACAGCAGAGAUGAAUGCAGUAGAAGCCAUCCACAGAGCUGUGGAAUUUAAUCCACACGUGCCAAAAUAUCUACUAGAAAUGAAAAGCUUAAUCCUCCCACCAGAACACAUCCUGAAGAGAGGAGACAGUGAAGCGAUAGCAUAUGCAUUCUUUCAUCUUGCACACUGGAAGAGGGUGGAAGGGGCUUUGAAUCUCUUGCAUUGUACGUGGGAAGGCACUUUCCGGAUGAUCCCGUAUCCCCUGGAGAAGGGACACCUAUUUUAUCCAUACCCAAUCUGUACAGAAACAGCUGACCGGGAGCUGCUUCCCUCUUUCCAUGAAGUCUCAGUUUACCCAAAGAAGGAACUUCCCUUCUUCAUCCUCUUCACUGCUGGACUGUGCUCCUUCACAGCCAUGCUGGCCCUCCUGACACAUCAGUUUCCGGAACUUAUGGGAGUCUUCGCAAAAGCUUUCCUCAGCACUUUGUUUGCCCCCUUGAACUUUGUUAUGGAGAAAGUGGAAAGCAUCCUCCCCUCCAGUUUGUGGCAUCAGCUGACACGGAUCUGAGGGAGCCUCCCAUCCUUCACUUUCCACACCAUCCACCAUCUCUUCUGUGCCAACCUCUCAUGGACCGCAAGAAAGCAUGACUUUGAAAAAGGGAAACCAUUCUGAGAUUUUAAACUGCUCAUGGACUAUCAGUUCCUUAUUAAAGGCUGGUUUUGUUGUACAAAAUUUAUUGAUGUUCAGUUCUAUUUUAUUUUGCCUUCAAAACUGACUGAUCAAAAAGUAAAAAAAAUAAAUAAAUAAACUUUUGUGUAUUGCAA